AGGUUUGAAAGGAAAAGGGCAAAAAGCAAAAUGACUUAAGGGCAAAAACGAGGACGGGUAGGACAAGCUCCCCUUCACGAUUAAUACGAUCACAAAGAACUUAAAUUUUUCAUUCGGGGGCUCUCAGUCCCACACGAAAUUCGUUAUAAUACAAAGAACUAACUACUUCUAUGGAAUUCUACUACUGCCACCCGAGUCGGUCGGAUGGCUCGGACAUUUCCUGAGAAACGGGUAAGGAGCAGUGGAAUGCCACACAAAGGCUACACCAACCUUGUCACUCGAGCCGUCGAGGUAAGCGGCAUCAGCUUAACCCCUUCGGUUGUGGAAACCGCGGAUGGGGUGGUGCCUAAAAACCCGACCGAGGUAAUUUUACCAACCCUCCGUUUCCUUUCCCAUUGCAAGAGCAUUCAUUCAUUUCAUCCAUCCAUCCCAUGCAUUCAUACAUUCAUCUCAUUCAUAC
This 460-nucleotide long non-coding RNA is filed under the name Setaria viridis. RNAcentral's name for it is "long non-coding RNA (SVIR_LNC001617)". The record is from RNAcentral. Lineage: Eukaryota; Viridiplantae; Streptophyta; Magnoliopsida; Poales; Poaceae.